This is a long non-coding RNA of Hirundo rustica (Barn swallow), 255 nucleotides long. RefSeq lists it as uncharacterized. The transcript has 3 exons. Lineage: Eukaryota; Metazoa; Chordata; Aves; Passeriformes; Hirundinidae. The record is from RefSeq and is a predicted model, not a curated record.
AUGAAUGCAGUUGGAAUAACUGACAAUGUGAAAGGAGAUCAUCGGAAAUUUGAGAUCUGGUAUAGUGGGUGAGAAGAGGUGUAUGUGGUGCAGGCCCAAACAGUAGAUCUGAAGAUGGCAUGGUUGAAUGAAAUAAGAAAAAUUUUGUUCAAGCAGCAAGAGCUUAUAAAAGCAGUGGAGAAGUAGCAGCCUGGCUCAUGCUCAGAGCAGCUCCCGCUCUCCUCCCAGCUGGGUGACAGGUGAGUGCCAGGCUGG